UCGUUCCGGAGGGCGGGCGCCACGGAGGCCGGAGUGGUCGCAGCUCGGGCGGAGGCCGGGUGGGGCGGGGUUGUAGGGCUGGGGCAGGCGGCGGGCUGCCCGGCGGGACAGCGGCGGCAGCCAGCCGGGGGCGUCCUGAGUUGGCGGACGGGGGCGCUGCCAGCUCCCGAGGGGGCCGCUCGGGCCCCUUCCGGCCCGGGUCUGGUCGGGCCGCAGGAGCAGGGCGGGCUGCGGCGCCCAGUCUGACCCUGGCCUAGGGACUGAGCGCCUGGCCCCAGGGCUGCCGGUGGGGCAGCCAUGUGUGGUUCUUGAAGCGCCAUGUGGUCUUCUGAAGCGCUUUUACAGUUCUGAAGGGCUUUAUAUUGCAAACUGAUCAAAGCGCUUUGUAGCCCCGGAAGCGCUUAGGCAUCCUCGAAGUAGGGCUGUGCAAAGUGAAGCGCUUCGUGAUCUCAAAAGCACGUUGUGGACUUGGAAACCAACGGAAGCCUUUAGUAAAUUUUGGAUCGCUUUGACUUCUCCGACUCGGUUUGGCAUUUCUGAAACCUUGAGAACUGUGAUGGGCAGUGGAAAGAAGAGGGAAAGGUGCCCAUGGCGUCCGAGCGGGGCAAGGUCAAGCACAACUGGAGCAGCACGUCGGAAGGGUGUCCCAGCAAGCGCAGCUGCCUCCGGGAGCCCUGUGAUGUGGCCCCCUCCAGCCAGCCAGCUCAGAGGUCUGCAUCGCGUUCUGGAGGGCCCGGCACCCCCAAGCGCCUGAAAGCCCAGAAGGAGGACGAUGUGGCUUGCUCGCGGAGGUUAUCCUGGGGCUCAUCCCGCCGCAGAAAUAACUCCUCCUCCUCCUCCCCCCAUUUCUUGGGCCCAGGUGUGGGCGGGACCGCCUCCAAAGGCUGCCUGAUUCGAAGCACUGGGGGGUUCCUGUCUUCAGGGGGAUCCCCUCUGCGUCCUGCCAACGCCUCUUUAGAAGAAAUGGCUUCUCUAGAGGAGGAAGCCUGCAGCCUUAAGGUUGAUUCCAAAGAUAGUUCUCAUAACUCCACGAACUCUGAAUUUGCAGCUGAAGCUGAGGGUCAGAAUGAUACAAUUGAGGAACCCAACAAGAUCCAGAAAAGGAAGAGGGAUAGACUUCGAGACCAGGGCUCCACAAUGAUCUACCUGAAGGCUAUCCAGGGCAUCCUGGGGAAAUCGAUGCCAAAAAGGAAGGGAGAGGCUGCCAUUCGGGCAAAACCAAGCACAGCAGAGCGUCCCAGCCGUGGAGAAGGACCAGCCAGGAGUGAAGGACCAGCCAAGACUGCAGAAGGAGCAGCCAGGAGUGUCACAGUCACCACUGCUCAGAAGGAGAAAGACUCAACCCCAGAGAUCAGCGUGGAGGAGGACAAGACUGUGCCAGAGAAGAGCAGCUUCUACGACAGGAGAGUAGUUAUAGACCCUCAGGAGGAACCCAGUGAGGAGCCCCUUGGGGACCGAAGGACAGUCAUUAACAAAUGCUCUCCACCCCUAGAGUUCUUGGAUGAUGCUGACUCUCAUUUAGAAAUCCAAAAGCAUAAAGAUAGGGAGGUGGUGAUGGAGCACCCCUCUUCUGGAAGUGACUGGUCUGAUGUUGAGGAGAUCUCCACGGUCAGAUUCUCUCAGGAGGAACCUGUCUCACUGAAACCUUCAGCCGUUCCAGAGCCUUCUUCCUUCACCACUGACUAUGUCAUGUACCCACCUCAUUUGUACAGUAGUCCUUGGUGUGACUAUGCCAGCUACUGGACCAGCAGCCCCAAGCCUUCUAGCUACCCCUCCACAGGCAGCAACAGCAACGAUGCAGCCCAGUUUGGGAGGAGCAGCCGGAGCCGCCUGAGUGAUUAUUCCCCCAACUCUGCAGGGAGCGUCCAAAACACCUCCAGAGACAUGGAGGCCUCAGAGGAAGGCUGGUCCCAGAAUUCUCGUUCAUUUCGCUUCUCCAGAAGCUCAGAAGAAAGAGAGGUGAAGGAGAAAAGAACUUUCCAAGAGGAGAUGCCUCCACGUCCUUGUGGAGGGCACACAUCCAGCUCCCUGCCAAAGAGCCACCUGGAGCCAAGCCUAGAGGAGGGCUUCAUUGACACCCAUUGUCACCUGGACAUGCUCUAUUCCAAGCUGUCUUUCCAAGGGACUUUUACAAAGUUCAGAAAAAUUUACAGCAGCUCCUUCCCUAAGGAAUUUCAGGGCUGCAUCUCUGACUUCUGUGAUCCUCGCACUCUUACAGAUUGCCUAUGGGAGGAGCUGUUGAAAGAGGAUCUGGUCUGGGGGGCCUUUGGCUGUCACCCUCAUUUUGCACGUUACUACAGUGAGAGUCAAGAAAGAAAUCUUUUGCAAGCCUUAAGGCACCCCAAGGCUGUGGCAUUUGGGGAAAUGGGCUUGGAUUACUCUUACAAGUGUACCACGCCUGUCCCAGAACAGCACAAGGUAUUUGAGAGACAGCUACAGCUGGCUGUCUCUCUAAAGAAGCCCUUGGUGAUCCACUGCCGAGAAGCUGAUGAAGAUCUGCUAGACAUCAUGAAAAAGUUUGUGCCCCCUGACUACAAGAUCCAUAGGCAUUGCUUCACCGGCAGCUACCCGGUCAUCGAGCCCCUACUGAAGUACUUUCCCAACAUGUCUGUGGGCUUCACGGCAGUGCUGACGUACUCCUCCGCCUGGGAGGCCCGGGAAGCCCUGAGGCAGAUCCCACUAGAGAGAAUCAUCGUAGAAACGGAUGCUCCCUAUUUCCUCCCUCGCCAGGCAGUGCAAAGCCCUACCCUGUAGAGGGUAGUCCAAGGAAGCGUGGGACCCUGCUCACCCAGAGCCCCCAUGACUAGGACUCUCCCUGCACCUGCAGGUUCCCAAAAGCCUUUGCCAGUAUGCCCACCCGGGCCUGGCCUUGCAUACGGUCCGAGAGAUUGCCAGGGUCAAAGAUCAGCCACUCUCCCGCACCUUGGCUGCCUUGCGUGAGAACACCAGUCGCCUCUACAGUCUUUAAGCAGAGAAGGGCGACCAGCAGCCUGACAGAACACAGGCUGGCUUGAAGUCUGUGUCUCAGGUCGAGGAUGUGUUUGGAGAGCUGAUUGGAACACAGAAAACCAGGACAGGAUGUUUAACUCGAAGCGGGUCAUAAGGCUUCAGCUUGUGGGUGGGGUGGGGUGGGCGUGAAAUGAGGGGUAUGGGGACUGCCUGUAAUAGCACUGGGGUUUUGCCUCCCAGCCAAAAUGCUCCAGGGUAGGCAGCAAAGAAGAGUGUGAUAUGAGGGUACAGUGAGUUUGGCAGUCCAAAUUCUGUUCUCUGCAGCCUGUGUUUUUGAGCAGUUUGUGAAUAAAGUCACCCGCCUACUCGUCUAAGCACACGUGGGUGUGUAACUCAGUUCCUGGUUCUCGGUUCUAAAAACAGACUCCCAACUGGGAAACCUUUUGGGGGAAAUUAACUGGAGACCUAUCUCAGAGGUUUAUUUUCUUGCAACCAGUGAAGUCGUUCUCUUUCCUUCCCUGGAUAACUCUUCAAUUUGAUGGUCACUGUUCUGGUGUCAACUCCAGCGUCAGCACAGGCAGAAGGACUUCAACUGCUGGUCUCAUUGGUUCCACUGCCAUCGAUAUGGGGUGUGCAGAGGAGCGCUCAUUGUUCAUGAUGGAGAUCCAGGACAGACUGGGGGACUCCAGAAGAGGCCUUCUUGGGGAAGAGGACCCCAAAGGAGGUACUUCCUACUCACUGAUGCCCUCAGGGCUGCUGUGUGGGUGUGUUAAGGUGAUAAGGUUCAGUUUGCAGCAGAAACUACCUGCUAGUCUUGUGUCAGGGGUUCCCAGCCUCCUUUUGUUUCACUUUUGCCCCCUUCUCUGGAACAUUUGACCAAAAAUAAUCCUCAUUUCAUCUUGCGUUAACAGUCCCUUGUGUGCCCUCCCCAGGUUGAGAGGUGAAUCAACGUCAUUCUCUGAAGCUCUGCAGGGCAGCUCAGCCAUGUUACAUUGUCUAUGCAGAAUAAGCAGGCCUGGUGUCCGCAAAUGUACCAGUCCCUCUCCCGCUUCUCCUGGGUGCCCCCUGGCCUUUGCCUCUCCUGUGUCCUGUCUUUCUGUGUUUUAGAAGUCAGAGCCUCUCCUUCACCUUUUGAGCAACUGAGUCAUCUCAGGUCCUGAGCUCUGCUCUGCCGCCUGCUGGUGCCUUGUAAAGGUAUAUUCGUUACAGGCCCUGGAGUUUCUAAUGGUCCAGGGUUAAGUGAGAGGAGACUGUAUUUUGUUUCAAAGGAUCCUUCACCCUGAUCUCCUGCAGUGAGGUGGAUAGGUCACCUGGAGUCCCUCGUCUGUGUUCUUGGAGGCUUAAAUUGUAAAAUAUGUCCCUUAUGGAAUCCUAAAUUCCUCUAGGUGUUUUUGGAAGGCGCAUUUGAGCCUUGUGAGCUAAAAUGGAAUGGAUUUAAUAUUUCCUAUCUGGUAUUUCCAUCUUGCCCCUGGUACACAAGUCACCGGCCUGGAACUCAGCCUUGAUUCACUGUCUGUCUUCAUGGAUCAGCUGUGCCGUUAUGUUGUCUGUGCUGCAGAUUUGCCCAUGUGGGAAGUCGGGGGGGACCUGAUCUCCUGCUUGGAAGAUCUGGGGACUGCUGAGUAUAUCAAAGUGCUUUAUUGUCACCAAGUGAACUGCAGCACAACCAUCUCCUCUCCACAAGCCCUGAAGUCAGUACUGCCUGCAGGUGAAACCAACCAGUCCUGUGUUAGAGGAGGAAAAGCAACGAUGACAUGGAAGUCUCCAAGCCUGUGCCAUCCACCUGCCAAGGAAAAGCACAAGGUGCUAUCUACUUUUCUCUCUAGGAUUUAGAUUAUCAUUUAUGUGCUGUUACAUAGUGAAACCUCACCUGUGUGGGCGUGAAAAUUGGUUGGCAUUGUUUUUGAUUCAGCUUUUUGGAUGGCUGAUUGUUUUCACUGUGCUGUGGGAAUGCCUCUGUAUUUUUUCCCCUCUUUGGCCAUCUUUUUCUGAAAAUAAAGUGAUGGAUCCUCCAGCCAA
RNA transcript from Cercocebus atys (sooty mangabey), 4968 nucleotides. It is a transcript of the gene named TatD DNase domain containing 2, with no coding region annotated. NCBI's taxonomy places the organism in Eukaryota, Metazoa, Chordata, Mammalia, Primates, Cercopithecidae. The transcript is spliced from 9 exons. The record is from RefSeq and is a predicted model, not a curated record.